AUUGAACGCUGGCGGAAUGCUUUACACAUGCAAGUCGAACGGUAGAGGGGGCAACCCCUCGAGAGUGGCGAACGGGUGAGUAAUAUAUCGGAACGUGCCCAGUCGUGGGGGAUAACGUAGCGAAAGUUACGCUAAUACCGCAUACGAUCUAAGGAUGAAAGCGGGGGAUCGCAAGACCUCGCGCGAUUGGAGCGGCCGAUAUCAGAUUAGGAAGUUGGUGGGGUAAAGGCCCACCAAGCCAACGAUCUGUAGCUGGUCUGAGAGGACGACCAGCCACACUGGAACUGAGACACGGUCCAGACUCCUACGGGAGGCAGCAGUGGGGAAUUUUGGACAAUGGGCGAAAGCCUGAUCCAGCCGUUCCGCGUGCAGGAUGAAGGCCCUCGGGUUGUAAACUGCUUUUGUACAGAACGAAAAGGUUUCUACUAAUACUAGGAGCUCAUGACGGUACUGUAAGAAUAAGCACCGGCUAACUACGUGCCAGCCGCCGCAGUAA
Molecule: ribosomal RNA, 496 nt
Filed under: uncultured bacterium
Lineage: Bacteria
Description: partial 16S ribosomal RNA
Rfam family: Bacterial small subunit ribosomal RNA
Source: RNAcentral